RNAcentral lists this ribosomal RNA (484 nucleotides) under uncultured Anoxybacillus sp. Its description in RNAcentral is "bacterial SSU rRNA". It matches the Rfam family "Bacterial small subunit ribosomal RNA", at positions 897 to 1382 of the family's 1533-position model. Lineage: Bacteria; Bacillati; Bacillota; Bacilli; Caryophanales; Anoxybacillaceae. The record is from RNAcentral.
AAACUUAAGGAAUUGACGGGGCCGCACAAGCGGUGGAGCAUGUGGUUUAAUUCGAAGCAACGCGAAGAACCUUACCAGGUCUUGACAUCCCCUGACAACCCAAGAGAUUGGGCGUUCCCCUUCGGGGGACAGGGUGACAGGUGGUGCAUGGUUGUCGUCAGCUCGUGUCGUGAGAUGUUGGGUUAAGUCCCGCAACGAGCGCAACCCUCGCCUUUAGUUGCCAGCAUUCAGUUGGGCACUCUAAAGGGACUGCCGGUGUCAAACCGGAGGAAGGUGGGGAUGACGUCAAGUCCUCAUGGCCUUUAUGUCUAGAGCUACACACGUACUACAAUGGCAGGUACAAAGGGCAGCGACACAGCGAUGUGAUGCGAAUCCCGAAAAGCCUGUCUCAGUCCGGAUCGGAGUCUGCAACUCGACUCCGUGAAGUUGGAAUCGCUAGUAAUCGUGGAUCAGCAUGCCACGGUCGAAUACGUUCCCGGGCCUU